CUGGGUACAGAUGUAGGCCCGUAGGACCCUGUCCCAGCUGCUCUGUCGCUUGUGUGGCCUGUGCGCUCUUGAGUGGACCCACCUUCGAUAGUCACUGGAGAAAAAAAAUGGAGAUCUCAUCUGAGUCCAGUGUCAGACACUUCCUGAAGGCAAGCUCUUCUCUGGCAGGGAAAAUGCACAGAACACUGGGGAUCAGCACCAUCUCCUGGGUGCAGAUGUAGGCCUGUAGGACCCUGUCCCAGCUGCUCUGCCAUUUUUUGCAGCCUGGGAUCUUGUGUUUUUGGAAAGCAAUCUAUUAAUAUCACAGCCUCUGGGACACCAAGAAAACAAAUGAACUUUAAAAACAGAUGGAGAGUAAGGACAACCAUGUCCUCUUCUAACUACUUUAAUAAUUUUUAACUUGGAAAGUAAAUUCAAUGGGUGCCAACAGGGAAAACCAUGCUAUGUUCUAAAAUGGCAAAAGUCAGAUCAGGCACUAAUGAGAAAUGCUCUGAAUGGCUUUCAGGAUCUCUAGUUAACUAAGAUCCUGGAGUGAGUUGGGCCUCUGGAAACCCCUAAACCAUUCUAUCAGGUAAAUAAAUGUGCAUACAAUUAAAUAGCUGUAAACAGAUCUCAGGGCACCUGACUGACAGCAGAUCAGAUCUGAGUUCAACUGAUUUCAAAUCCUAUUUGGUCUCUCUCACUAAUACCCAGUGAACCUGCUUGUGUGGCUAUUCCAUUCUCAUAGCUGGAUUACAACACCAGUCUUAUUUUCUCCCUCUACAGCUAGAUUGAGUAUUUAAGCUGUAACAUUUAAAGGAAAGCCCUUGAAAUCAGAUCAAUAGCUCCUGUUUAAUUUCUCUAGUGUAUGAAGCUCCUUGCCUCAGAACACCGGUCACCUCCUAAUAACCAAGAGCCCUCCCUCCCUAAAGUCGGCCUCCCUUUAGUUUUGCUGUCUUGAUGCACUGAGUGGUCUGGAAGUGCUGCUCUUCCCGUACCACAGGAAACUGCAAAAACCAGUGCCCUGUGCAGUGUUUUCUAAGUGUGGUUUUAGAACCAGUAGUGUCAACAUCACCUGAAUAAUUUUGAACAUGAAAAUUACUUGCCUUCACUGCCCCCCCCCACGAUGGUGAGCCCAAGUGUGUGUGUGAAUAAAACUCUCAAAUGAUUCUAAUUUAUGGUAAGUCAAGCAUGGCAACACAUGCAUGCAGGUCCAGACCUGGAAAGCAGGGAGGGAGUCAAGAGGUCAUUUUCACCUUCUGCUAUACAGUGAGUUCAAGGUCAGUCUAAGUCUGUGGUGGUUUGAAUGAGAAUGGUCCCCAUAGGCUCAAGCUUGAAUACUUAGUCACCAGGGAGUGGAACUGUUUGGAAGGACUGGUAGGAUUAGGAGGUGUGGCCUUGUUGGAGGAAGUGUGUCAUUGGGGGUGGACUUUGAGGUUUCAAACACCCAGAGCCUGGUAUGCUGUCAUGCUCUCUGCCAUGAUGAUAAUGAACCUCUGAAAUGAACCAAACCUCUGCAAGUCUCCAGUUAAAUGCAUUCUUUGAAAAGAGUUGUGUUGGUCAUGGUGUCUCCUCACAGCACUGAAACAGCGCCUAGGACAAGGUUAUAUGUGACUCUGUCUCAAACAAAAAGAAAAGAUGGGGAAAAGGAGAAGGAAACCUCCAGGUUUUUGCAGAAUCUCACUAUUUAUCCUUUAGGGCUCUUGCUUAGCCUUGGUUGAGCAAUUCAAUUUUCGUUAAUUAGCACCUACUAUGUGCCAGGGAUUAGCCUGUGUUCUCUGACUUGGAUUACCUCUACGCAGUCAAACUUUGUGCUGCACAGUAGCUUUUUGGGCUUUGACAGUAUAAAGAAUACAGUAUUUCAUGGGAAUGAAAAAUCUCCCAUGACCAAGAUAUUCUUUUGUAUGUCAAAUGAUAAAGACUGAUAAAGAUUUUUGCAUGACUUGUUCUUAUAGUAGCAAAUAUUGUGCCAGGCAGUGGUGGCGCAAGCCCUUAAUCCCAGCACUUGGGAGGCAGAGGCAGGUGGAUUUCUAAGUUCAAGGCCAGCCUGGUCCAUAGAGUGAGUUCCAGCACAGCCAAGGCUAUACAGAGAAACCCUGUUUCAAAAAAUCAUAUAUAUAUUUACAGGGUAGCAGACACCCUCUCCCCCCAUCCCUGAAUCAGCUGCUUGUUUCUGUAGGUCCAGAGUUCAACAACAGUUUAGCUCAGGAUCUCUGUCUUAAGGUCUUUUAUAAAACCUAAACUAAGGUAUGAUGGGAGUUCUUGACUCACUAAGUCUAAGUUCACGCAAAGAUUGCCUUCAGCACCUUAUGAGUUGUUUAUUUGGUGACUUUGGUUUCUCAUCAGAUGUGGUAGUUUGAAUAGGAAUGGACCCAUAGACUCAUGCAUUUGAAUGUUUGGUCAUAGUGAGUGGCAUUAUUAGGUGUGGCCUUAUAAGAGUAGGUAUGGCCUUGCUGGAGGAAGUGGGUCAUUGGGGGUGGACUUUGAGGUCUAAGAAGCUCAAAUUUGGCCAGUGUGUCUCAGUCUCUUUCUGCAGAUUAAGAUGUAGAACUCUCAGCUCCUUCUCCAGCAUCAUGUCUGCCUACACACCAUCAUGUCCCACCAUGGCAAAUAAUGGACUAAACCUCUAAAAAUGUAAGCUAAUCCCAAUUAAAUAUUUUCCUUUAUAAGGGUUGUCUUGGUCAUGGUGUCUCUUCACAGCAAGAAAACCUUAACUAAGACACUAGGUAUUAUCCAGAGGCUUUCUGCAGCUCUUUGCCACAUGGAACUCUCUGUCACAGAAUUCCCUCGAAGGAAGCAAGAGAGGGCAAAAAAGCUAGAAGCUGUUGUUUUAUUUACUAAUCUUGGAGAUGAUAUCCCAUCACCUUUGCUGCAGUCUUUUGUAAGUCAUACCUUGUCCCCUAUUCAAGUUUCUAACCAUCUAUAUAAACAUGUUCUCUUUGAAGAAGGCAUUUUUUUUAAUGAUCCCCAUCCAUUCCUAAUUUUAAAACAAACAACCUCCCUAAAGUAUCAAAAUGUGGCCAGUCUGUGGCCUGGCAUCUGUGGUUCUUAAAACAUCAAUGUCCCUAAGGACAUCGUCCCUUAGGAGCUGGUUAACAGUGUUUAUAUCCAACUUUUAGCCCAAGAAAGUUAGGUCCAGAAGGGGCAGUGGCGGCUAGGUGGCCUGUUCCUCUCCACUUCCUGUCUUCCCCUCUUUUGACCACAGCUGUACACAGAAGUCCCUCGGCUUCCUCAGAUCUGUGCAAGGCCACUGUGCCCACACUCCUGCACAUUGCUUUGCCCCAGAGCAUCUCUGAAUAUAAGAUGAGGUUGUAUCUGCAGGAGUCCUUGGCAUUCAUCAAGCCUGACUUGGCACACGCCUGCAUAUGCAUUACAGCUUUGUUGUACUUAGUGAAUGCCAGUAAGCCUUCCAGCCAGACGAUAUAUAGGUAUUUAGGUCCCUGGAGAGCAGAAGAUCAGGGACACCCACUGCUGACUGCCCUGCUACAGUCCCGGACCCUCAGUGUCUGUAUUCUGUGUCUGUGCUUCUCAACACCCCCUUACCCUUCUAUCCCAGCCAGCGUGGUUCCUUAGCUAUUUAUUUCUUCCGUUGGUUUAUUUGCUUAUGUGAAUUCUCAGACCUAUGCUGAGAAAUAAAACAGGAACGAUGAGUUCGUUGAAGAUGAGUAGGAUGCUUCCUACGUAUUCAAAGCGUGCCUUGGGGUUGUGUGACAGGUGGGUCUUGCUGAGACAGUAACAGGCAGAGCACAAGCAAUAGAUUUGGAGAGGUAAAACUUUGGGGGAAGAUCGUUUGUAUGCCCUGUGGUAUUUGCUAUGUAGGGGGAUACAUGUCAAAUACUGUGUUGUAAUGAUCUUCCAAUGAUAAAUACUUGUCUUCUAGAUGUUGAGACUUUAUUUUAGUAACAUUUGGCCUACCCUGUGCUAUAUGCUGCUAGCUCACCGGCCCAGGCCCACCCUCCAUCAUCUCCUAUUCAUGUAGUUUUGGAUUUGUUUAGUGUAGGCAUGUGCCCAGCGGAAAAAUGCCAGAGUGGUCUAGUUUCAACUAAGAAACUAACUGUAAGUGGAAGUUCUAGAUGAGGGCUCAAGAAAGCUCUCUAAAAGGAGUCAUGUUAAAUUGGCAACUCUGUGUUACCCUUUAUCUCUCUUCUGCCUGCAACUGAUGUAGAGUUCUGCACAUCUACCUGCCAUUGUGUGGCCAUGAAGUGACUGACAAGAAGAGCAAGUCUAUGGCAGCCUGCCCUGAGGCACAGUGGUGCCAGGCUAUCCCUGAUGUAACUGGGCUCCAGCUUCCCAAUGUGUGACAAAAAAAAAAAAUUCCCAUCAUAUUCCAUUACUAUUACUGAAUAUUUCUAGUUCACCUGCAUCAACUUAAAUCACAAAGAGAAAGGCUCUCUACAGAGCAAUGCUGGAUUGUGAGCAGUCGGGGAGCAUUGCACACGAAACAAGCGGGGCAGAAACCAUGGAAACUGUCACAGGGGGCAGGGUAAAGGGAAACGAGGCGAUGUGAGGAGUGCUGUGUAUGUCAUUUUGAAAUGAUCAUCCUUGGCCACAAGAAUUAAUAAGCAAGAUGGUGCCAGCCUAGGCUGAACAAAGACUUACUGGACAGCUGUCCUUGUAUAAGCAAUUUUUGUGCAAAAUAUAGUCAGGCAACCUUUUGUGAUAGAUCUUACUGUCAGCAUACUUUCAUGAAAUUCCCCCUUCAUAAUCUAUCAGGUAUAUUUGCUUUUCGUUAGGGCUUGAUACAGCGAGCUCCGUGUGUGUGUGUGUGUGUGUGUUGGGGGGGAGGUAUAGGAUGUGUGUGCAUGUAUGUCUGAAGACAUGCAUAUACUACAGCACACUAUAGGGGACACGGGACAGUUUCCAGUGUCAGUCCGAGCUAGCAUCUUAUGUGAGGCAGAGUCUGUCUGACGUUUGCCACUGUGCUGUGCACCUACACAAAGCUGACUGGUCCAGGAGCUUCUGGUUCGCCUGCCUUUGCCUCAAAUCCCUCAGAGGGAGUACUUUGGUUACAGAUGGUGGCUAGUGGUUUUACAUGGGACCUGAAGACUUCAACUUGGGUCCUCAUGCUUGUAACAGCAAGCGUCAUGCCCACUGAGCCAGUUCCCCACCCUGCCCAUACUGAUUCUGACAACUUCCACAUAUGAAGCAAACAUAUUUCCUAAUACAGCUCUCUCAGUUCUGUUAAGGUUUUACAAAGAUUUUCUUUUAGAUUUCCUAUCAUCAUAGUAGGUCUACUUUUUAUGAGUCAUAUAUCUGCCCUGGAUAGAUGACUCAGUGAAUGAGAGUCUUUUUAUGCCAGCAAGAGUCUGAAACUUAACACACACACACACACACACACACACACACACGCACGCACGGCUAAGUACAUAUGCAAUCCCAGCACUAUGGGGAGUGGGGAUGUCUGGGACUCGCUGGGUCAGAUUCAGUGAGAGUCUCUGUUUCAAGGGAACACAAAUAUCAAGACACAGCAGGACAGCGACGUCUUCUGGCUUCCAUGAGUGCACACCUACAUACACAUAUAUACCAUUCUCACACACAACAGAAGUCAUGGGGGGAGGGGUGGGGAAGAGGUAGCUCAGUGGGUAGUCACAUUUAUGUAAAGAAGGAAGACAGCCUCCUGUGCGCCAUGUGCUGAACUAAUUCAGUAAGAAAACUUUAUACUUCAUUACAUACAUGACCUGGUGGUUUGUCCAGCUGAGGCAAAAGUUGCUGAUGGACUCUCUGAAUGUUUUUAUCACUACCUAAAAGCAUAUCUAUAACCUUACUUGCUUAGCAUGUGUGUCCUUAUUAAAUCCCACUCCAUAAAGAAAGGAACACUGCUGUCUCAUUCAUUAUGAUAAUUGAUGCCUGCCACAUCACAGGGCAUGCAAAAUGCUGCAUCCAUGGAGAAACACAGCUCUCUGAAUUCGUCUGAGUGCAGAGACCAAAUAUGAGAAAUGGUAGUUUACCCAGCAUCACAGCUCCAUUAAUUUAUGACCUGUUGGAAAAACAUGUUUUCCCUUUUUAACAAGUUUCUAUUCAAAUGUGGAAGAAUAGUAAUGGAGGUCUCCUGGUGGCUGGCCUGAGGCCCUGUCCCCCCCCAUCCCCUGCCCCCUUCACUGUAAUACAUGAGCAGUUAGCUGGUUGUGAGUCGUUUGCUAAUGAAAUAAUCACUCCCAAGAGUAUUAGUUCUUUUUCUCAUUGCUCUGGCAACAUGCCUAUCAGAAAGCCACUUGAGAGAUGGUUUUCUUUGGCUUACAGUUGGAAGGGAUACGGUCCUCCAUGGAACUGGAGGCAACUGGUGUGAUCCCUUCCGCUGUCCAGAAGCAGAAUAAACAGAAAGGAAGAUGGGACUAUCAAACCUCAAGGCUCCCUCUAGUGACUCACUUCUUCAGUCUGGCCCCACUUAUUAGAGCUUCCACAACCCUCCUUGAACAGCACUCUCAGCUGGGGACUAUUGUGCUCAAGCACAUGAACCAGUGUCUAUGUUGGUAUUUCACAUUCAAACCUCGGGGGAAGUAACAUAUCAUGCAUAGCAUGUACUUGUCGGUGCUAAAAGUAACAGUGAAUGAAAAGGUUGAACUUGGGAGUAGGGGGAUGAAAGUGGGGGGAUGGGGAUGGGGUAUGGGAGUGGAAGGAAGUGGUGGGGGUGGCUCAGCAGCUAGGAGUACUUGCUGCUGGUGCAGAGGACAAAACAACAACAACAACAACAACAACAACAACAACAACCACCUAGACCAAACUGGUAGACUGUCACAUGUACCUAUAAUCCUAGCACCUGGGAGGUUGAGGCAGAAAGAUCAUGCGCUCGCAGCUAGCUGCACAGCAAGACUGCAAAGGAGUUAAGGGUGAGGGUAGCCACUCAUAUUCAACAUUUCAGAAAAGAGAAUGGAAGGAAAUUCAAGUGUGAUAAGGAAGAGCUAAGCACAGAUGUUAAAAAAUAUAUUAAAUUCUGUUUUUCCUUUCCCAGCCCCAGCUCCUGGAACAACAACUAUGAGACUAGUUAGUCAUUAUUAAAUGCCUAGGCCACAAACUUUGGCUCAUCCCUGACUAGCUCUUCAUGUUUUUAACCAUUUAAUCUACUCUAUGUUUACCACUUGGUUAGUGACCUCUCCUUCAGUCCCAGCUGCUGCUUCUUCUCCUCAGCGGCUCCCUCUGCGUCUCUCCAGGUUCCUCUCCCUCCUGGUUUUCAUCCAUCUCUCCUCUGUCUCUGUCUCAAUCUUUUCCUCUGUGGGAAAUGUGUGACCUUAGAGAACAUAAGGCGACCACUGAAAGACCUUGCUAGAAUAGCAUGCUGGGGACCUUCCGCUAGAAGUUUGUGGAGAACCCUCCCUUCCCAGAAUGACCCAGCAAAACAAGCUUUACAAAAGCCCCUGAAAGGCAGGUGCAGAUAAUGACCUAGAAUGUCUCACUUCCCUCUUCUGGGGACGAAGACCUCACCUCACCCAGGGCCAUCAAUGCUGCCUAGGGAAGGUCAUGAAAAGACACUUGCCUCUCUGUAAGGGAGAGUCUAAUUACCAUUUCUAAAGGGUGGAAAGAGAAGGUCAGCUCAGGCCAACAAUGGGCUUAAACCAACUCAAGUUGUUAUCAAGGCCUGCCCUUAAACUGUAUAAAAAGUGUGUGCUUGGGUUGCCUGUGCCUCAAUCGAGGCAGGACAGCCCCUGGCACACCAGAUCAAUAAACUUCUUGAUUAUUUCAUCAGUCUCCGUUUCUGUGAGUGGGACACCCUGGACAUAAGGCUCGUUGGGUCUUACACCUCCAUGGCUCUCUUUGAGCUCUUAUUAUUUCCCAGUCUUCUCUUUCUUUCUGCUAAUGUUCCACCUCCUAUUCCCUGCCACAGCUCAAUGGCCAUUGGCAUUUUAUUGACAGGUGAUGCUUCUAAGAGAUUCUUUCUAUACCCAGAGUGUGGUAUUACACUCAGUCUUCACAAGUUUCAUUCUACAGAUGUCAACACUGAGUACCAGUCGGGUAGGUGGGUUUAUCUCAGUGUUUUCCCAGCAACUAGGUUCUGAGACUAUGUAUAUCUCAUUCUAAAGUCUGUACCCUUCUACAUAGUUUACUAAUUACUUGUAAUCAAGAACUUGAUAAAUAUAGAUUAUUAUAUUGCCUACAUCUUUCAUUUAAUUGGUAUCAUCAGUCUUAGAACUAUUCUAAUAUUUAUAGCAAUUAAGAAUGUUCUUGCCGCCCUUAUAACAAAUCCAUAAUUUUCCUCACAGCUAGCUGCUCUUGGCUAGACCCUGUUGGAAGUUAGAACAUGAAGAGCUAAAAGGCAAGAUAUUUGAAGUUUUCCACCAGAGUUGGCAAGAUGGCUUAUUGGGUUAAGGUGCCUGCUGCCAGGCCUGAGAGAGAGAACUGACUCCCACAAAUUAUGCUCUGACCUCCGUGUGGGCACCGAGGCUCAUGGAUGUGCAUACUAUUGCUAUUUUAAAAGAGAAUAUUUGCUUACUCAUGUAUCAAUUCUACAACUUCUUCUGGUACCCUUUUGCUGAUGGUAGACAGAAAAAAAAGAGGUGCAUAAACUCAGAAAGGCCACCGCUUGAAGUGGGACAUCACACAUCACCAGAUAAGCUUGGUCCGAGGUUGCUUAUUAUCUUGUGUAUUGGUUGGUACACCCUCCAUUGUCCUUGCUUUGAAACAACUAUGUCAAAAACACCUCUCCAUUUCUGUAGACUGGGCUGUCUGGCGUGUCUUUUUCAAGGGAGUCUUCUGUGGAUCAUUAAUAUGCAAAGCAGAUAAGAGAUUUAAAAAGAAAAGCUACUGCUGGCUGCAGUGGGAGUCGGUAGGCAGUCAACUUCGGCAGUCAGCUUCGCCCCAGUCUGAGAGACUCCGAGAGGUUGGACCCUCCUUAAGGCCUUCUACAGAAUUGAUGAGUAAGACGGUCCCUAAGGUCCCCGCCAAGUCUAAAAUUACGGAACCAAUGACUCUGUUGGGUAUAUGCUGGUUUUGGUAUUGCUGUGGAAACCAGGCAUCUCCAACAAGGGGGAAAUAGCAGUAACUGCCUUUCUCUGGGAACAUCUGGUCUGGAAAUGAGAACAUCUCAGCUCUGGUCCCUGCUCGGCCACUAUUUAAGUCUAUUACCUUAGCUGCUGUUUCCCCAUCUACGAAACGCUCAUAAACCAUUCCCUGCCUGCUUUAUUUUUAAAUGUAUCUGUUAGCGAAGUUUUAAAUUCCCUUCAACAAAAAUUAAACUAGUAUACAGUCUUAAAGUCUUGCCUUCGGGGAUGUGCGGAGGUUGAUUCUUCACUCUGAAGUUGGAGCUAUAUAGUUACUACCUCUGUUGAAACUGGUGGUAAAACCCAAAGCGUGGCGCACGGGCCCCAUGGGUGCCUGGGGACGAGCCAGAGUCCGUUACCAGAUGAAUCGCUACAGUUCUCAUCAGGAGAAAGUGGGAAGUGUCCUUUGGUUAAGACAGGCAAAAACAAUCGUGGUUUUCUGGAUUUUUGUUUCAUUUUUGCAGAGCUGAUACUAGUUGGGUUUUUAUUUUUAUUUUUUGUCAAAAUUCUAUACGAUCCCUAUUACCACAAACAAACAGAUUUCUACCGUUCAGGCCUGUGACAAAUGACAGUUGUUGAACAUCUGACAAGAUAUUCUGUAUUUCUAAGACCUGGAGAGAAAGAUGAGCAGAUAGGUAAGUGGUGAGACAAGGAAAGUGAGGAAGAGGUGGCCAGCGGGCAGCUCUGAGACAGCCUGGGCAAAGCCAUUGCACAUGGGGACACUUUCAGAGGACACUAGCCGCAGCACUUCAUAAGCCAUGCUGAGUGAGGAGCUGAGGGGAGCAGACCAAGUCUGAGUGGGCAGGUGUCUCGAUUUCAGCUUCAGCCACCCUAGGUAUACCACCUAGCAGGGAGACUUCCUCUUCCCACUUUACAACAAAAUAACUACUCUGGUGUUUAACAAGGGAAAGGACAUGGAUGUGAGAUUGUAAGAAUGGUCAACUUGAGAUAAAGAUUCCUUUCCUCAGAAAGCUAUUCAUUUCGAAUUUUCAGAAGAUAUUAUGAAACACUAGGAAUCAAGGUUAUACCUAAGAUAUUUAAUCCCUGGGGGAUUUAACUGUCUCUGUGGACCCAACAAAAAUAAUUCUCGACUCUCUCCUGUUUGUGCUUCAUCUCCCCCCUGGAUGCCCUGUCACCAUACCCAGCACUGUCCAUAAAUCAGGAUCCCAUGAUUGCCUUGUCCCACUUCGUCUGAGGCUCCCUCUUAACCAAGAGGCCAAGAGAACCCCACAACAGCACUUGGAGUUCUACACGCAGCCCAGAUAUCUCUCCACUUGGGUAACAGAACUAUCAGGAUUGGAAAGAAUAUUACAGAUGACCUGGCAAUCCAUCUGCCCUACAAAUAAAGAACUUGAUUCCUAAAGAGGAAAAUACGUUUCCUCAGGGUUGUGAGAAGGGUAGUUUGACGAUGCUGUGGGUACCAGCUCUGUUGCUAUGCUGAAGGUAAGAAAUGCAUUAAGAUGUCAUUGUUAUGUUUUUGCUUUUUACUGUAUUAAAAUAUCAUCAUUUUGUGUCGAUUGAUUUCAGACCGAGCUCCUAAAAGUAGCCACGGAGCCUGGGAGAAUGUGUCUUUGAAUGAAAGGAGAUGCCGAUUUCUGUUGGGUUUCGCUCUCCCACAACUCAGAAACUUGAAUUGACAACGUGUUAUUGGCUAAGAAAGGAGCUGUGUCGAGCACUCCGUCUCCUUCCUUCUGGAUGAAAGAGAUCUGGCAUCCUGGAAGUCUCCAGUGCACAGCUUCGGCCUGUGUGGUUUGGAGAGUUGGGAAGUUUAUCCGUCCAUCCUGCUGCUUGGAUGCCAGCCACGCAGGAGUCUCUCAUACAACCUUUCUGAGUUUUUCUUUUUACCCAUUUCUCAUCUCAAAUAACAAAUUCCUAAAGGCAUAAUUUCAAAGAAGUUGCUCAUCAGUUUAGGGGACCUGGGCCAACCUUCCCAACCUUCCCUUGUGCCCAUUCAUUCAUUCAUUCAUUCAGAAUGCAUAUGUUGUGUGUCCAUAUGCUGCAUAUUAAUAAUAGCUCCUUUCUUCAGUAAGUUGGGGCUAGCUCAUUCCUGCGCAGCAAAGCUUCAUGGUUAAUUCUUGUUAUUCUUACUCUGUAGUGAGAAAACUGGAGCUCCCAGAAGAUGCCUAUCAUAGCACAAGUAGACAGGAACCUGGGAACAUGCAUGAGACUGCAACUCCCAGCUACUCUGACAAUCAAAGCCCUGCGUUACCUUCCUGCACCUGUCACAUGGAAGCAUGAUGAGAGGAUGAAGCGGACAGGGUAUCCCUGUGUGGUCUGGGCAGUAUUAAAAGGCUCUUCAGACCAGACUGGCUUGAAUUUGGAGAUUUGUCUGCUUCUAUAUGGAAUUACAGACAUGAACCACCACCACCCUGGAAUUGACUUCUUAAGUCAAGUACUGAUCCUGGUCUAUUAUCCCUCGGCUCUAGCAUGGGACCUACUAGAAAGGGUCGAAGUUGGGCUGGGCUGCUUUGUCCUCAAUACACCAAUUAGAGAGAUGCAUUUGAGGUGGCCACAUUGGGACGAGGAAGGAAGAGAGGUCCGGUGACUUCAGAGCCCUUAGGAAUGAUUGCCUCAUGUUGGGGGUAAGAAGAAGUUAACAUCUAGGGAGGAGAAGAGAAAAAGCCAGCACUGGUCGGUAAGUCCUGUGCUGAGAACCCCCGUGAGAGUGCUCUUGAUUGUC
This is a long non-coding RNA of Mus musculus (house mouse), 11631 nucleotides long. RefSeq annotates it as predicted gene, 31615. The record is from RefSeq and is a predicted model, not a curated record. The transcript has 6 exons. NCBI's taxonomy places the organism in Eukaryota, Metazoa, Chordata, Mammalia, Rodentia, Muridae.